GAGAGAGAGAGAGAGUUACAAUCAGGUUAAUAUUUAGAAACAACUAACAAAUUAUAUAAAUCUAAAUGGGAUAAUACCACAUGAAAAACCAUCUCUGUUUACUAAAAUUAUUCACCUUCCUCCCAAGGACAAAUUAUCUAUCUUAAAAGCCUAUUACAGAAUUAUAUUCAAGCGUUACACAAUAUGACCAGCACACUGUAUGUUAUCAUAUCUGUCACAGGACAGCAUCUCCACUCUACGUACUAUUAUUCCCUGAUCAAUAAAUAUCUGAGAGUUCAAGCACCCGAACCCCACAUCCCACAGCUCCAAAAUCCCUAAACCAGGGCAAACUUGCGAGGGUACCUCACUGAUUUCCGGUCAGGGUUAAGAGGGUUUACCCAAUCACCUCCCCCCAACCCUCCUCCAAAGGAAUAUUCUCCCAGCAGUUUUCA
Molecule: unclassified non-coding RNA, 431 nt
Filed under: Hevea brasiliensis (rubber tree)
Lineage: Eukaryota; Viridiplantae; Streptophyta; Magnoliopsida; Malpighiales; Euphorbiaceae
Source: RNAcentral